AUGGAUUAGUGGCGCACGGGUGAGUAAUGCAUAGAUAACAUGCCCUUUAGUUUGGAAUAGCCACUAGAAAUGGUGAUUAAUACCAAAUACUACCUUACGAGGGAAAGAUUUAUCGCUAAAGGAUUGGUCUAUGUCCUAUCAGCUUGUUGGUGAGGUAAAGGCUCACCAAGGCUAUGACGGGUAUCCGGCCUGAGAGGGUGAACGGACACACUGGAACUGAGACACGGUCCAGACUCCUACGGGAGGCAGCAGUAGGGAAUAUUGCUCAAUGGGGGAAACCCUGAAGCAGCAACGCCGCGUGGAGGAUGAAGGUUUUAGGAUUGUAAACUCCUUUUGUGAGAGAAGAUA
Molecule: ribosomal RNA, 348 nt
Filed under: uncultured Helicobacter sp.
Lineage: Bacteria; Pseudomonadati; Campylobacterota; Epsilonproteobacteria; Campylobacterales; Helicobacteraceae
Description: bacterial SSU rRNA
Rfam family: Bacterial small subunit ribosomal RNA
Source: RNAcentral